AGCGAACGCUGGCGGCAGGCCUAACACAUGCGAGUCGAGCGGCCGUAGCAAUACGGCAGCGGCAGACGGGAGAGUAACACGUGGGAACGCGCCCUUCGGUUCGGGAUAACUCAGGGAAACUUGGGCUAAUACCGGAUACGCCCUUACGGGGAAAGAUUUAUUGCCGAAGGAACGGCCCGCGUCCGAUUAGCUAGUUGGUGAGGUAACGGCUCACCAAGGCGACGAUCGGUAGCUGGUCUGAGAGGAUGACCAGCCUCACUGGGACUGCGACACGGCCCAGACUCCUACGGGAGGCAGCAGUGGGGAAUAUUGGACAAUGGGCGCAAGCCUGAUCCAGCCAUGCCGCGUGGGUGAUGAAGGCCCUAGGGUUGUAAAGCCCUUUCAGCGGGGAAGAUAAUGACGGUACCCGCAGAAGAAGCCCCGGCUAACUUCGUGCCAGCCGCCGCAGUAA
Molecule: ribosomal RNA, 451 nt
Filed under: uncultured bacterium
Lineage: Bacteria
Description: partial 16S ribosomal RNA
Rfam family: Bacterial small subunit ribosomal RNA
Source: RNAcentral